Molecule: long non-coding RNA, 514 nt
Organism: Canis lupus familiaris (dog)
Lineage: Eukaryota; Metazoa; Chordata; Mammalia; Carnivora; Canidae
Exons: 4
Source: RefSeq, a predicted model, not a curated record
AUGACUGGAAGCCAGGCCGUCUGCAGCCAGAGCUUCAGCUCUUCGACACCCAGCCAUACUGCCUUAGACAAGAGAUGCACGGUUUGGAGACAGGAAGACUGAGUCCAAGCGUGUGUCAGUCCUAAGGCCACUAACCCAGGGCAGGAUCGAACUCAGUCCCCAAACGAGGGGACCAAGACACAGAGACAUCAGCCAACCAACCCAGGGCAACCCAGCUCGUGAACGGGCGCUGAGCUCAGAUUCCAAGUCAGGUGUGACACACCUCUUGCCCUUCACCUGUUUCUCCCCAAAUGUAAUAAGAAUGUCACUCCAUGAGGGCACAGGCUUUGGAGAAGAAGCAGGAAGCAAAGCAAGGCCUUUGUGGUGCCUCAAGGGCAGGUGUCAAGGACUCCCGUUUGAGGACUUGGAUGGGGAAACUGAGGCACCAGGAGACAAAUUUAGUGGUAGCAGCUGUGUUCACACCGCACCUGGCCGCCCCCAGGCUGUGCAAUAGACGUGGCUGGUGGCAAGAGAG